UACGUAGGGGGCGAGCGUUAUCCGGAAUUACUGGGCGUAAAGGGUGCGUAGGUGGUUAGGCAAGUCAGAGGUUUAAGAUCGGGGCUCAACCCCGGUUCGCCUUUGAAACUGCCUGACUUGAGUACAGGAGAGGAAAGUGGAAUUCCUAGUGUAGCGGUGAAAUGCGUAGAUAUUAGGAGGAAUACCGGUGGCGAAGGCGACUUUCUGGACUGUAACUGACACUGAGGCACGAAAGCGUGGGUAGCAAACAGGAUUAGAUACCCUGGUAGUCCCUGAGCGGGCUGG
RNAcentral lists this ribosomal RNA (285 nucleotides) under uncultured prokaryote. Its description in RNAcentral is "partial 16S ribosomal RNA". It matches the Rfam family "Bacterial small subunit ribosomal RNA", at positions 524 to 819 of the family's 1533-position model. The record is from RNAcentral.